This 440-nucleotide ribosomal RNA is filed under the name uncultured bacterium. Its description in RNAcentral is "partial 16S ribosomal RNA". It matches the Rfam family "Bacterial small subunit ribosomal RNA", at positions 338 to 795 of the family's 1533-position model. The record is from RNAcentral.
CCUACGGGGGACUGCAGUGGGGAAUAUUGCACAAUGGGGGAAACCCUGAUGCAGCGACGCCGCGUGAGUGAAGAAGUAAUUCGUUAUGUAAAGCUCUAUCAGCAGGGAAGAAAAUGACGGUACCUGAGUAAGAAGCCCCGGCUAACUACGUGCCAGCAGCCGCGGUAAUACGUCGGGGGCAAGCGUUAUCCGGAUUUACUGGGUGUAAAGGGGGCGUAGACGGCAGUGCAAGUCUGGAGGGAAAGGCGGGGGCUCAACCCCCGGACUGCUGUGGAAACUGGACGGCUGGAGUGGAGGAGAGGUAGGUGGAAUUCGUGGUGUAGCGGUGAAAUGCGUAGAUAUUAGGAGGAACACCAGUGGCGAAGGCGGCUUACUGGACUGUAACUGACGUUGAGGCUCGAAAGCGUGGGGAGCAAACAGGAUUAGAUACCCUUGUAGUC